Molecule: long non-coding RNA, 2531 nt
Organism: Gasterosteus aculeatus aculeatus (three-spined stickleback)
Lineage: Eukaryota; Metazoa; Chordata; Actinopteri; Perciformes; Gasterosteidae
Source: Ensembl
AAAGCUGCACACUGUGUUCAGUAGAAGUGUGUUUUACUGGGAGGCCAAGUUCAAACAACUUAUCAAGUGCACACAUGUCUGGCAGGGAUAUUCAUCUCUGUCGUGUCCUUCACUCCACACCCCUGCAGUGCGUUGACCCACAGGCUCCGUCUGGCUGACGGCCAAGAGACUCGAGUUCAUCCAAAACGGACGUGGACGUUGUCUUCAUUAAGGCUGUCACAGCAGCUCAGGGACCUUUCAGCACCCAGGCGUCUUCCCCCUGAUGCAGGAGUGACCUCGGCCUGACCUGAAGUUCCUGGACACCGUCUACUCUGCAGGCCCAACAUAAAGCUAUCCGUCUUAUUUAGCAAUCGCCUUCGUUCUUCAGCAGAAAAGUAAGACAUCUGCAUAAGUUUAUUUCCGCUCUACAAACAUGACAUGCUGUUUGUACAUGUAUAUAUUGUGCUGUAUAUCCCUACUGUAUUCAGCUGCCUUGACAGCUGCGUUGUUAAAAACUGAAUUCAUGUUCAAAUAAAAAAACAAAAACACAUUUUCUUUUUAAUGUUUCACUCAGGUCUCUUUCAAAAUGUGCAGUCCAAACACUGCUGAUGUGGUUUAGAAAACACUACAAAAUACCUAAUAAAUAAAUAAUAAACCUGCACCCCGAAACGACUGCGGCCUGACUAACAACGCAGGAGUGAACUCACCGAACUGCAUCGCCUCGAUUUCCUCGACUACAGUGUUGCACGCAACAAUUCCAACCACCUGCAUAACUCAUUAACUCGCAGCAAAUUGGUUCCACAUGUAGAGAUUCACUCCCAUAAAUGGUGUGUCACAUAAAAUGGAAAUCUUGGCAUGAAAUUGUGUUGGAGGAAAAAAUGUGGUAAAACUGUGAGAAACGUCGGAAAGCGGCUCGCUGUAGGAAGCUGGUUUAGGUUUUUUAACUUCUCCACAAAUACAUUUUAAAAGAAGAUGGACAACGGGGUAAAACAUAAACUCAGACAGUUAAAAAAAAAAAAAAAGAUUAGUUUUUUAUUCAUCUGCACUCACAGCACAGGUGCAUCAGUAUGUUGUACUUAUCCUGCAAUUUCUCUUUUAAAGAAACCAUCAAUUACCUCAGUAAAGACCUUUAAUCUUUUGUCCACGUGGCAAGUUUAUUCCAUUCAACAUGACAUCAAUUACACCCACAGAUUUCCAAGCUGCUGGGUGGUUUUGAGUUGGAGGGGAAGUUUCGCCUCAAAAAUGGUGCACACACAAAGAGGGGGCUGGUGGGGGAACGUUGCUUCAGGUAUUGGUGAGACAUGAAAUAUGAUCCGGGAGGUCCAGUUAACAGGAAGUUACCGUGGUGGCGGACGUCUUUUGUUACAUCUAUUGCAAUUGUUACAUCUAUUGCAAGACGGCUGGUGGGAAUUUCACGCACAAUGUAAACUACCAGGAAUGUGAGCUCAGGAAUGUGUUUCAUUGGCUUUACUUCAGUAGUUUGCAAGGAGCUGCUGUCUGACAAAAGUUCAGACAGGUUGAACAUCUUUAACCCAAGGUACUGGCCACAGUUAAGCAAAUUAGGUUUUUGUAUGGACUCCUUAACUAUCCGCUGUGGAGCAGCCAGUAAAGCAAAGGCACUGGAGUGUGAUUUAAAGUCUCCGUGUAGCCGACCUGUUGCAGUAAGACGCUGUUGAUUCUUGUUAAGUUGUGAAUACUCAAUUGGAGGACCGUCAGCUCCAGAUCCUGAUACGUGACACCCACAAAAUGAAGAAUGAAAUGAAAUCUAAUGAAAUCUAACUCCUAAUGCGAUCACAACCCGGCGCCUAUUGCCCACAAUGCAACGCGACCAGUCCGAUAUUCUGCCGGCAGCUCGUGCAGCCUUGAGUCAUAUAACCUCAUGUUCCCGAGUGACAUCACUAGAGGCCGUUUAAGAGGCCCGGCGUUGUUAUGUCAGAUGCAAAGGGGGCCUGAAAUCAUCACGGUCAUCAUCAAUAAGUCAGAGUCAUGUAGAGUCGUGCUUCCUGGCAGACGCAGGCGAUUCAAAGACCCACGUGGAUCUGCACAUCGUCGGGACUAAACUUUCUUUUUUUUUAUCCCCAAUUUCUUUUCCACACAUCCAGCUGUGCAAAUGGGCUGUAGGCAAGCUGGAGUUCCCCUUUAAAUGAUCAAAGUUGCUGGUUUUGCUUCAGCCGGAGGGCUGAGUCAUUCACCUCCUGAUGUUUUGGUCUGUUGUUUAUCAUUUUCCAACCUACCAACCAUACAUCCAACAGAAACUGUUGAUGCAGAAAAUACAUCAUCACAAAUGAUGCUAAUGUCAUCGUCAAUGUCUACGGUAACUGCUCUGUUUCAGGACGUUACACAACGGCACAUAAAUAACGGAGUUCUUGUGGUUGGAAAGAAUUAUAUUGCAGCAGAAACAGCUGCAGCAAAUUAUUUCUUUCACAUAAGCCCAAAGUGUAGCAGUUAUACAGCCUGAAUCUAGCGACACUUUGGGAAAAUAUGACGGAAAGAAUUCAACAUUCCACUUAAGUUUGAGGAUCGUUUAUGCAUUUAAUUUUAAUUUCAUGUUC